RNAcentral lists this ribosomal RNA (253 nucleotides) under uncultured bacterium. Its description in RNAcentral is "partial 16S ribosomal RNA". It matches the Rfam family "Bacterial small subunit ribosomal RNA", at positions 524 to 776 of the family's 1533-position model. The record is from RNAcentral.
GACAGAGGGUGCAAACGUUGCUCGGAAUUACUGGGCGUAAAGCGCGUGUAGGUGGAUUGGUGUGUCAGAUGUGAAAGCCCUGGGCUCAACCCAGGAGCUGCACCUGAAACUACCAGUCUUGAGUGGUGGAGAGGGAAGUGGAAUUCCUGGUGUAGAGGUGAAAUUCGUAGAUAUCAGGAGGAACACCAGUGGCGAAGGCGGCUUCCUGGACACUAACUGACGCUGAGACGCGAAAGCGUGGGGAGCAAACAGG